UGGAGUGGUCAUACACUUCCAAAGUUAAGGAUGCUCAUUUAUAUAAGUAACUACUUCCUCAUUAAAGAAACAAUUCAGAUUAAAAAACGUGAUCCUCUCUUCUUCAGUCUGAUUAUAAUUAGAAGCUGGUGUGUGUUAAAGGAUCAAAAAAUCAAUUCUUGGUUCUUCGAUUCAUAGAGUUGUAUAAAAAUUGGGUGCAAAUCGUAGUUUGAGAUAAGGAUGGAAUCAAUGUCCUCUAAUAACUGUUAAUUCAUUUUUUUCCGCGAGAAGAAGCUCAAUUUAUCAACGAUGGUGCUCGAAGGUAGUUUGAUGAAUGUGCCUCAAAAUAAGUCUGCGUCGUGUGUUCCUCAAACUGGCAGUUCAGCUUAAGGUCAAGGAACUCUUCAAUGGGAAGGUGAAGGAAGCUGGUAAAGAAGAAGGUGGUCUAUACUUGUUCAUGCAACAUUAAAAUAAUAAAAUUGAGUCAAGGUCCAGUAAUGAAAAAGAAGAUCUUGUUGUCAACAAUACAAAGACAGUAGACAUGAAGUUGUGGCAUCAAAGGUUAGGACAUGUGUCUUCUGGAGUUCUUCCAAGACUGUUUGGUGUGAAUCAACAAACGUUAUGUUUUUUGUCAGAAUGUUCUAUAUGUCCCUAUGCUAAACAAGGCUAGCAUUUCCUGUGAGUGGUAUUAAAAGUGUAGCUUUUUUUUGACUUGAUACAUGUUGAUGUUUAGGGUCCUUAUGCUAUACCUACAGUUGAUUGUAGCAAGUAUUUUCUUACUAUUGUUGAUGUUUUUUCAAAAUUGACUUGGCUAUUCUUGCUUAAACUUAAAUUAGCUGGUUGUGUUUCUAUUACAGAGUUUCUUGUAUAUGUUAAAACUCAAUUUGGUAAGGGAGUCAAAAUAUUAAGGUCUGA
Long non-coding RNA from Solanum lycopersicum (tomato), 894 nucleotides. RefSeq lists it as uncharacterized. Lineage: Eukaryota; Viridiplantae; Streptophyta; Magnoliopsida; Solanales; Solanaceae. The record is from RefSeq and is a predicted model, not a curated record.